Molecule: ribosomal RNA, 1560 nt
Filed under: Triticum aestivum (bread wheat)
Lineage: Eukaryota; Viridiplantae; Streptophyta; Magnoliopsida; Poales; Poaceae
Description: partial small subunit ribosomal RNA
Source: RNAcentral
AUGCUGAAAGCUGGGUACCGAAAGAGAUCUUUCUACGGUGGACCAGACUACAAAUGUACCAGCUGUGGUGCAGUCUACUGGUUUGAGGAGAGGGUGAGAUCGGAAUCCGCUAUUACGCUAAGGCGGGUGGUUUACAACAAAUGUUGUAAGGGUGGUAAGGUGUAUAUUACACCUUUUAAAAAGCCACCUUUGUUUCUCUCUGAGUUGCUGAGAUACAAUGGUCCCUCGCGUAGCAGAGAGUUUAUAAAAAAAAUUCGCCAGUACAACUGUCUCUUUGCAUUUACUUCCAUGGGAACUACUAUUGAUCGUUCUGUAAAUGAUGGUAAUGGUCCAAAUAUAUACAAAAUAAACGGGCAGGUUUGUCAUCGAAUGGGAUCUCUUAUGCCUAAGGAAGGAAAUAUCCCCAAGUAUGCCGAACUUUAUAUGUAUGAUACCCAGAAUGAGGUGCAAAACAGGAUUCAGGCUUUAGAAAAGGGUGAAAAGAGUGAUGGUGGUUUAGAUGAAUCUAUUGUUGAAGGCUUGAUGCAUAUGCUUGAUAUGCACAAUUCUUAUGUCAAAACGUUUAGAUCAGCUAGAGAAAUACUAGCAGCCAAUAGGCAUGCCGAGAUAGCCAUUCGUUUAGUUGCCCCUGGAGAAUCUGAUGGCCCACAGUUUAGCCUCCCUACAACUGAUGAGUUGGCAUCUUUAAUGUUUGGUGAGUUCACGAUGGAGGCUUCUUGUCGUGACAUAAUAAUACACGGUAGAGAUGACAAUCUGCAGCAAAUAUCUUCUUUGCAAACUUCAUACAUGCCUUUGCAGUAUCCUCUUCUCUUUCCCUAUGCAGAACAUGGGUUUCAGCUCGGGCUUAAAUAUAUUGGUUCAAAUCCUUUAGAUACUAGCAAAAGAACCAGGCUCACUAUGCAGGACUAUUAUUCCUAUUGUCUCCACUAUAGACCAGAGCAGCAUAAUCCAUACCUUUGUUGUGGUUUGCUUUCCUCACAGGCUAUUGUAGACGCACGCGCUUGCAUAGACGAGUGGAGGCUGCAUUUCAUUAUGAAGGCUAAUAAUGAUCUUAGAGCAAAGAACUUGCAAGGAGUCACUGAUGUUGUUGGAAAAGGGCAGACAGAUGCAAGUUCUGUUGGCAAAAAAAACAUACUUCCAUCCUCUUUUACCGGUGGCCGGCGUUAUAUGAUUGAGAACUUCCAGGACACAGUAGCUAUUUCACGUGUCUUUGGCCCACCAGACCUUUUCACCACCUUAACCUGUAAUACCAAGUGGACUGAAAUAACAGAAGCCCUGUCUUAUGAGCCUGGACAGAUGCCUUCAGACAGGGCAGAUCUUCCGGUCAGGUAUCACAUGAAGCUCAAUGACUAUAUUCAUGAUAUUAAGAGUGGGGAGUCCUUUGGUCCUAUCGUGGCGGUACUACACAAUGUGGAGUUCCAGAAAAGAGGGCUUCCUCAUGCCCAUAUCCUGAUCUGGCUUGAUAGGAAAAAACGGGAGAUGGCGCAUCAGUUGCUCUCUGAGAUACACAACCACAGUAGGAAGUGGGUUGUCUCUGUCCUUGUCUCGCGCCUGUGGUUC